CCUACAGAGACAACGAAAAACUACACCACAUACACAAGCUAAAAUGCAGGGACCGGCGGGAGUCUCGGUUCCUAGCCUACCUCCUACAGGUUUUCCACGCAUCUAUAUAACAUCACCAAUGCAGAACAGGGCUCUAGCCCGCAGUGACACCGGCGCGGAGUCUAAGAGUUCCUCUCCCAGAAUGUGGCGUGACAACUGACACCCGAAUAGACCGAGGAGCUGGAACAGCCGCUCACAAUAAAGGAAUUAACACCAGCU
Non-coding RNA from Pelobates cultripes (western spadefoot toad), 258 nucleotides. The record is from the annotation of a GenBank genome assembly. NCBI's taxonomy places the organism in Eukaryota, Metazoa, Chordata, Amphibia, Anura, Pelobatidae.